GCUAAGAAUCUUGCGCAAUGGGCGAAAGCCUGACGCAGCAAUUCCGCGUGGGGGACGAAGGCCCUCGGGUCGUAAACCCCUUUUGUGAGGGAAGAAGUUCUGACGGUACCUCACGAAUAAGACACGGCUAACUACGUGCCAGCAGCCGCGGUAAUACGUAGGUGUCGAGCGUUGUCCGGAUUUAUUGGGCGUAAAGAGCCCGCAGGCGGCUUGGUAAGUUCGAGGUGAAAUCUCCCGGCUCAACUGGGAGGGUGCCUCGAAAACUAUCAGGCUUGAGGCAGGGAGAGGGAUGUGGAAUUCCCGGUGUAGUGGUGAAAUGCGUAGAUAUCGGGAGGAACACCAGUGGCGAAGGCGGUAUCCUGGCCCUGUCCUGACGCUCAGGGGCGAAAGCGUGGGGAGCAAACC
RNAcentral lists this ribosomal RNA (405 nucleotides) under uncultured bacterium. RNAcentral's name for it is "bacterial SSU rRNA". It matches the Rfam family "Bacterial small subunit ribosomal RNA", at positions 354 to 774 of the family's 1533-position model. The record is from RNAcentral.